UCUUCGGUAGUACAGUGGUAGUAUUUCCGCCUGUCACGCGGACGACCGGGGUUCAAUUCCCCGCCGGAGAG
Diachasma alloeum is the source of this 71-nucleotide non-coding RNA. The record is from the annotation of a RefSeq genome assembly. Lineage: Eukaryota; Metazoa; Arthropoda; Insecta; Hymenoptera; Braconidae.